UGGCGGCGUGCCUAACACAUGCAAGCUACGCACGAAUGGUGGAGUAGUCUUGCUCUUCAUCGUUAGUGGCGGACGGGUGCGUAACACGUGAGCAACCUGCCUUCCGGUGGGGGGAUAGCCGGCCUAACGGCCGGGUAAUACCGCGUACGACUUCGGGCUCGCAUGGGUCUGGAGUGAAAGCGGGCGCAAGCUCGCGCCGGAAGAGGGGCUCGCGACCUAUCAGCUUGUUGGUGAGGUAACGGCUCACCAAGGCGACGACGGGUAGCUGGUCUGAGAGGAUGAUCAGCCA
Molecule: ribosomal RNA, 289 nt
Filed under: uncultured bacterium
Lineage: Bacteria
Description: partial 16S ribosomal RNA
Rfam family: Bacterial small subunit ribosomal RNA
Source: RNAcentral